This 498-nucleotide ribosomal RNA is filed under the name uncultured bacterium. RNAcentral's name for it is "bacterial SSU rRNA". It matches the Rfam family "Bacterial small subunit ribosomal RNA", at positions 32 to 518 of the family's 1533-position model. The record is from RNAcentral.
AACGCUGGCGGCAGGCCUAACACAUGCAAGUCGAACGGUAACAGGAAGCAGCUUGCUGCUUCGCUGACGAGUGGCGGACGGGUGAGUAAUGUCUGGGAAACUGCCCGAUGGAGGGGGAUAACUACUGGAAACGGUAGCUAAUACCGCAUAAUGUCGCAAGACCAAAGAGGGGGACCUUCGGGCCUCUUGCCAUCGGAUGUGCCCAGAUGGGAUUAGCUUGUUGGUGAGGUAACGGCUCACCAAGGCGACGAUCCCUAGCUGGUCUGAGAGGAUGACCAGCCACACUGGAACUGAGACACGGUCCAGACUCCUACGGGAGGCAGCAGUGGGGAAUAUUGCACAAUGGGCGCAAGCCUGAUGCAGCCAUGCCGCCGUGUAUGAAGAAGGCCUUCGGGUUGUAAAGUACUUUCAGCGGGGAGGAAGGUGUUGUGGUUAAUAACCGCAGCAAUUGACGUUACCCGCAGAAGAAGCACCGGCUAACUCCGUGCCAGCCGCCGC